UUAUUAUUUAUUAUUACUUAUUAUUUAUUGUUUGUGCCUUCUUGUUUUUUGUAUUGCGUCGUUUACUUGUCUAUCGUGUAAUAUGUCUUGUCUAUCGUGUAAUAUGUCUUGUCCCCGUGGGAUAGAGAAAACGUAAUUUCGAUCUCUUUGUGUGUCUCGGCAUGUGAAGACGUUGACAAUAAAGCAGACUUUGACUUGACUUUGAUAUCACGGGUCAUUACGACGAGUUUGGUGAAGUUUUUACUGCUUCUUCCAACUCCUACCGCGCUGACUGUAACUUGACACUCUCUGGCUGCGUCUUGCCUCAUUUGCAUACUCACAGUGAUUGGAUGUUUACGGAGGGGCGCGGAGUCCUGACAGCAGGCUGUGUGAGGACACACACUGCACCGACAUGAGAGAAGAGAGGGGGCUGAUUACGUGUGUUUCUAUCAGCGGAUUUUUUACUUCUAAAAGUUUGAUUCGAGGGGGCAGAACAUCUGUUUGAGGGAGCGUUGCCCCUCUUGCCCCUGCUUAGAGCCGGUGUUGGUUUAGACACGUCCCACUGCUGGAAGUAGACCUUUGUUUGUGUUGCUCACAUGCGGUUGGAUCAAGGAUGCAUAGCACAAAUGUUUUCCACCCCGGGAAAGGGAGCGCUUCUGCGCAAGUGUAUGGGUAUGUGUGUGUCAGAGGAGGGAUGCUGGGCUGGUGAGUCAGCUUCACGAGUUGAGCCGUCAGAUCAGCGAGCUGCGAUUAGACAACGAGGCAUCACGUGACCAAAUGGAAACAUCACAUGACCAGCAGGAAGUGGACAGACGGGCCAGUUCUGGUCGGAGGAGCACAUGUAUGACAAGGGCGUGUCGUGUGGCUAAGCUGACGACUUGUGCACGUCAGGUUUCUAUGAGUUGAGCGAUGCGGCAUCCGUGUCCAACUCGCCCGACUUCAUCUUCACCGAGUGUUUCUGUCGGAUGGCCGACCCGGAUAUAUUCCGCCCCAACAACGGUAUACUUUUCUGACCCUGACUCCAUCUUCUGAUGCGUUUUGUGGUGUGCAGACCCAACAACAAGUUUUGUUGUGCUUUUCAGUUCAGACGAGAGCGGUGGCUGCUCCACGUGAUGCCUCACUUCCUGGUUCUGCCUGCGACUCCGGCCCCACCCCUUCUAAGUACCGCAGUACCGUUUUGGUCCCAAAAGUGAGCGAGGUGGUUCGGCCCCCGCGUCCGGCCGCCUCCCUAGAGAUGGUGACCAAAAGCAAGGAAUCGUCCGCACCCAUCGGCUCUCCUUCUAUCGUACGGCAGAGCUGCCCUCGGCCCGCCCACACCCUCUCUCAAAGACAUCUGGACAACUACAUCUACCGUUUGCUUCAGUGUCGAGCCCCCGUCUCUCGUACUGGCUGCCCCAAGACCAAAGCGGGCAGCCACUGUAAUGCUCCCCGGCGCCAGCCUUUGCCCAUAACACAGAGCGUGUCCCACUCUGAGGUAAUCGGAAUGCUACGGGGCAGGGACAAAUUCCCAAGACCAAACACAAAAACGGACGGUAGCCAUGAGCCAAAUUCGGUACUAGCCGCCCUCGCAAGGUCCCGAUUACCAAACCCGGACGAAGCAGGGCAGCGACAGCAGAGUCAUUGCAAGCACAACGCCGUAAGGAGUCGCCACUCCUACAGGGGCAGAGUGAAGUCCGAUGGCGGGGGCUGGAAGACACGGGCGCCGGCCCCCUGACAGCCUGCAAGAGACCACCCCCGGUAUCCACCCCAGAUGUCCAUCGCUGUGGAAACCACCACCGCAUCACCAAGACCAACCGGGGCGACUGCCGCUUGUCACAGGUUCACUCCGACUCAUGACCACCAUGUAAAGCCUGUUAGCUGGAGAUGCUUCUUAAGAGCGGAGUGAGACUUAACCAAUUGGAUUGGCCUGACAAUUGCUUCUGAAGUUGUUGAGCCUAAAAAGGUGAACGUAUUGUAGUAUAUUUUUAUUCUGGUAUCAUUCUGGUUUCACUUCUAAGCUUAAGUGUGACCAGGUCACGCUCGUGUGGGAUUUUAUGGGGCCUGGUCCAGGAAGGCAGACUUCCUGGCACCAGGAUGCAGAGGCGUAGCCAAGCCGGGGCGCCCCGGUUCGGACUCCGUGCGCCCCGGUUGAAAAAAAUCUGGCUUUUUCGAUUCUUCAUUUUCAUGCCGUUUUUUUCUUUCGGUCCUGCGCCAACGUGCUUGCGCUAUUCUAUCUGCGCGAUGUUAUCCAUUCACCGUUUGCCUCCCCGACCCGGAUGUUGUUUUAGCGAUCAGCGAACGGCGUGGGUGAUGUUAGAUUUUUUUUCCUGUGGGCGUGCGCCCCUACUGGAAAAAUUCCUGGCUACGCCUCUGCCAGGAUGUAUAGAUACAGCGGUUGGCCAUCUGUGUAGAAUCAGCAAGGCAGGCUGGCGGGUCAGAGGUCAUCCAGCAGCCGUCGUGAGGUGGGGGCGUGGGGUAUAAUAUUCGAGGGCGGGAAGACUUGGGGGGACUUGAGACUUUUGGCUGGAGAGAGACACUUCAAUUCUGACAUCGGUUGAAUAAAAUCUUUCCCCAAUCAGCCGUGUCUCACUGAAGUUUUCCUUCCCCGAGCCAGACACCUUUCCACCGCUUGCUUUUGAAGACCAGCUGACCACCAAAGAGAAUUCACCACAAUAUCCAAUGUUUGCAUUUUUUUGACAAACGGUGUGACAUGUUAGCGAGUCCGCUGGGUGCCUCCCCACCAUUGUUGAAUGCGUCUGUUGAUGCUUAUUGGUAUCUGUAAUGCACCUGAACGAAAUUCAAAUCAAAAUAGUCACAGCUUUUUCCUGUUAGUAUAGCUUAGCACGGUUAGCGUAAAAAAAUGAAGACUGGGUGCGUUUAUUCGACCAAAUAAAACAAACGUUGAUCUCAUAACCAUUGGCUCGUCAGUUAUCCAUGUGACAAUUGACACGUUACCAUGGCAACCAAUUAAUUGCCAAUUGGUUUUUUUCCAUGUAUAAUGCGCCCUCAUGUAUUAUACGCACCCUAAAAAUGGCAUGUCGAUGCUGGAAAAAAGCCUCUACCUAUGUAUAAUACGCACCCAAAUUUUGACUCCUACUUAAGUCCGUAAACGUAAAAUUAUUUCAGAAAAAAGAUCAUCUUUGGGAACAACCGGAUGUUAUUCUGCCGGUCAGUAUCACUACGCAUGCGCUAGCAAACUCGAUAGCGAAGAAAUGUUUCGGAUUUGUGUAGGGUACGUUCUGACAGCAAACGAGCAGGUGAUCGAGCAAGCGUCUGAUACGAGAGCAUUGUGUUCGUAUGGAGCGUGUUUGAAGUGAACAGCAGAGAAGAAAGCGCAUCUGUAAUGGCGGCCUCCGUAUCAUAUCCGGAUAAAAAAAAAAAUAAAAAAAUAAAAAUAUAUAUAUUUUUUUUGUACCCAUGUAUAAUGCGCACCCCAGAUUU
Syngnathus typhle (broad-nosed pipefish) is the source of this 3399-nucleotide RNA transcript. RefSeq lists it as uncharacterized. The transcript is spliced from 2 exons. Lineage: Eukaryota; Metazoa; Chordata; Actinopteri; Syngnathiformes; Syngnathidae. The record is from RefSeq and is a predicted model, not a curated record.